CCUACGGGAGGCAGCAGUGAGGAAUAUUGGUCAAUGGACGAAAGUCUGAACCAGCCAAGUAGCGUGAAUGAUGACUGCCCUAUGGGUUGUAAACUUCUUCUAUAUGGGAAUAAAAUGUUCCACGUGUGGGAUUUUGUAUGUACCAUACGAAUAAGGAUCGGCUAACCCCGCGCCAGCAGCAGCGGUAAUACGGAGGAUCCGAGCGUUAUCCGGAUUUAUUGGGUUUAAAGGGAGCGUAGGUGGAUUGUUAAGUCAGUUGUGAAAGUUUGGGGCUCAACCGUAGAAUUGCAGUUGAUACUGGCAAGCUUGAGUACAGUAGAGGUGGGGGGAAUUCGUGGUGUAGCGGUGAAAUGCUUAGAGAUGACGAGGAACUCCGGUGGCGAAGGCAGUUCACUGGACUGCAACUGACGCUGAGGCUCGAAAGUGUGGGUAUCAAACAGGAGUAGAUACCCGUGUAGUC
This 460-nucleotide ribosomal RNA is filed under the name uncultured bacterium. RNAcentral's name for it is "partial 16S ribosomal RNA". It matches the Rfam family "Bacterial small subunit ribosomal RNA", at positions 338 to 795 of the family's 1533-position model. The record is from RNAcentral.